AUACGGAGGGUGCAAGCGUUAUCCGGAAUCAUUGGGUUUAAAGGGUCCGUAGGCGGACUAUUAAGUCAGAGGUGAAAUCCCACAGCUCAACUGUGGAACUGCCUUUGAUACUGGUAGUCUUGAGUUAUAUGGAAGUAGAUAGAAUGUGUAGUGUAGCGGUGAAAUGCAUAGAUAUUACACAGAAUACCGAUUGCGAAGGCAGUCUACUACGUAUAUACUGACGCUAAGGGACGAAAGCGUGGGGAGCGAACAGGAUUAGAUACCCGAGUAGUCC
RNAcentral lists this ribosomal RNA (274 nucleotides) under uncultured bacterium. Its description in RNAcentral is "partial 16S ribosomal RNA". It matches the Rfam family "Bacterial small subunit ribosomal RNA", at positions 523 to 796 of the family's 1533-position model. The record is from RNAcentral.